RNAcentral lists this ribosomal RNA (179 nucleotides) under uncultured eukaryote. RNAcentral's name for it is "partial 18S ribosomal RNA". It matches the Rfam family "Eukaryotic small subunit ribosomal RNA", at positions 1299 to 1458 of the family's 1831-position model. The record is from RNAcentral.
UGGUGGAGUGAUUUGUCUGGUUGAUUCCGUUAACGAACGAGAUCUCGACCCUUAAAUAGGUGAGCUUGUAGUCCUUUUGGCAAUUGACAACGCUUCAGCUGCGUCAAUUGAUACAGAGCAACCACUUCUUAAGGGGACUGCGCGCGUCUUAUAGCGUGCGGAGGAGCGAGCCAAUAGCA